AGUUUUCAGAUAUUCGUCUCUGCAACAUUUUUGUCAACACUCUGAAACAAUGGUGGUGAAUGGAAAUUCAUUUGCACAAUUUUGAAAAAAAACACCUUGAGCAGAGUCUGAAACUAGGGGCAUGAUAAAUCCGUGUAUCAUUCGUUCAUUUGUUUUUCCGAUUUCAAAACCAAAACCAGAAAUCGGAUUACGGUUCGUUUCUCGUUUUUUCGAUUAUGCACCCCCAAACGGAAAAUGGAAAAUGAAACAUUCGGAUAACAAAUCCUGGGAGUGUUAGUUGUCAGGGAAACCGAUCGCGAGCCAACAACUGACUCAUGCCACAACUGAUCUGUAAGGAAACAUGGCUAAUUUGGAGUCUCACUACGAGAUGAUAAAUCAACUCUUUCUGUCGGGGAAAACUCACGCCGAAAUGUCUGAGACAUUGAAGAGUAUGGGAAUUAAGGGGUCCUCGGAGAUGUCGGUGAGGAGAUUCUGUGGCGACGUUGGGCUGAGACGGAAGGGGCACAUCACAGACCAAGAGCUGGAAGAAGCUGUCCUGACAUCUAUUCAAAAGACCGGUCCAACGUACGGACGGAAAUUUAUGACAGGGUACCUGUCAUCUGUGGGGGUGAAAGUGGGUGAAAUAAUAAAUUUGACUGUACACAACAUAGGCAUACUAGUAUUCUGUUGUCCAACGGUGCAACAAAAUGUCCUGUGGUGCGACAAAUUGAAUUGUGAGGGGAAAAGGUAUUUUAAUGAAAAAUGUAUGUAAAAAGUGUUGGAUAGUAUAACAAUGAUAUCAUCACUAUGCAGCUUUAAGGAUGAAAUGAAGAUUCCUUGAGUUUUAUACAAAUUAUAAUGAAUGUAACCCAGACAUUUGGGUUAAGUCUCUAUGUGUACAUCUUAUAGUAUAUAAAUAACAUAAUUCUGAAUUUGUUGGGGGUAUGUUUGAUGUGGAAAUAUAAUUGGGACAAACUAAUAUGCCUUGUGCUUAUCUAUCUUACCUGUCCAACAUUCUCUGAAUUAAAUAAUGGCAUUCUUUA
Molecule: long non-coding RNA, 1022 nt
Organism: Eleginops maclovinus (Patagonian blennie)
Lineage: Eukaryota; Metazoa; Chordata; Actinopteri; Perciformes; Eleginopidae
Exons: 2
Source: RefSeq, a predicted model, not a curated record